CAAUAGAGGCGCGGACAGCAGGGUACCCGUUCGAUCGGCAGGGCAGCCGGAAAAUCGCUCGGGAAAGGGGUUGUCCGCCGAAGGAAACGGAUGCGCCCGAUCCGGUUCCUGGCGUCGCCGUGUAAGCGGCGGUGCUGUCAUGUUCAAAGAGCAUGGAGCGCUAUUGGU
This 168-nucleotide non-coding RNA is filed under the name bovine gut metagenome. Its description in RNAcentral is "Lysine riboswitch". It matches the Rfam family "Lysine riboswitch aptamer". Rfam says of the family: Riboswitches are metabolite binding domains within certain messenger RNAs that serve as precision sensors for their corresponding targets. Allosteric rearrangement of mRNA structure is mediated by ligand binding, and this results in modulation of gene expression. This family includes riboswitches that sense lysine in a number of genes involved in lysine metabolism, including lysC. The record is from RNAcentral.